AUAGCUCACUGGUCGAGUCGGCCUGCGCGGAAGAUGUAACGGGGCUAAACCAUGCACCGAAGCUGCGGCAGCGACACUAUGUGUUGUUGGGUAGGGGAGCGUUCUGUAAGCCUGCGAAGGUGACCUGUGAGGGUUGCUGGAGGUAUCAGAAGUGCGAAUGCUGACAUAAGUAACGAUAAAGCGGGUGAAAAGCCCGCUCGCCGGAAGACCAAGGGUUCCUGUCCAACGUUAAUCGGGGCAGGGUGAGUCGACCCCUAAGGCGAGGCCGAAAGGCGUAGUCGAUGGGAAACAGGUUAAUAUUCCUGUACUUGGUGUUACUGCGAAGGGGGGACGGAGAAGGCUAUGUUAGCCGGGCGACGGUUGUCCCGGUUUAAGCAUGUAGGCUGGUUGUCCAGGCAAAUCCGGAUAAUCAAGGCUGAGGUGUGAUGACGAGGCACUACGGUGCUGAAGUAACAAAUGCCCUGCUUCCAGGAAAAGCCUCUAAGCAUCAGGUAACAU
This 498-nucleotide ribosomal RNA is filed under the name Klebsiella pneumoniae. RNAcentral's name for it is "partial 23S ribosomal RNA". It matches the Rfam family "Bacterial large subunit ribosomal RNA", at positions 1137 to 1637 of the family's 2925-position model. Lineage: Bacteria; Pseudomonadati; Pseudomonadota; Gammaproteobacteria; Enterobacterales; Enterobacteriaceae. The record is from RNAcentral.